CCAAACGGAUCAGCGCUGUCACCGAGCCAAAACCGAAAGAAGCAAAAGAAGAACAGGAGGAGAGCGACGGCAGAGCAGAGGCAGGUGUGUUGAAAACAGUGGGGAUAUUUACCUGGAAGGCCUGCCAGAGCUGAUCGGCCAGAGUGCUGAUCUCAGAGAGGAUGUGACGAAUGAGAAAGGACUUUGACAUGCUGCUGCUCCCCAGCGCGAUCAGGCACUCCAUCAGCUUCUCUGCAGCCUGGAGCUAAGGGGAGAUCAUUCUGGUGAAAGCAUCUCGAAUGUGGGUGAAAAUCAGUUCUUUAAGCCUGGAGCAAAGAUCCCAUCACUCACCCCGCUGGGCUGAUUCCUGUGCAGCAACAUCUGAGUCAGCUCCUUCAGCGGCUCUUCCACACGUCUCAUGAACUCAACAGAUGGCAGCCUCUGAGAGCAGUACAGGUCCAUUGCUCGGGCAGCGGUCUGACAGGCCUGCAGGACGAGGUCACGAGGUCCCAGUGCACGGGGAUCCUUGCAGGCCACCACGACGGAUUCAAGGAGCUGGCACACUGUGUCCAUCAGCACGCAUCCUGCAUCGCCAUCUGGG
This is a long non-coding RNA of Acanthochromis polyacanthus (spiny chromis), 580 nucleotides long. RefSeq lists it as uncharacterized. Lineage: Eukaryota; Metazoa; Chordata; Actinopteri; Pomacentridae. The transcript has 3 exons. The record is from RefSeq and is a predicted model, not a curated record.